RNAcentral lists this ribosomal RNA (279 nucleotides) under uncultured bacterium. RNAcentral describes it as "partial 16S ribosomal RNA". It matches the Rfam family "Bacterial small subunit ribosomal RNA", at positions 338 to 634 of the family's 1533-position model. The record is from RNAcentral.
CCUACGGGGCGCAGCAGUGGGGAAUAUUGCACAAUGGGGGAAACCCUGAUGCAGCGACGCCGCGUGAGUGAAGAAGUAUUUCGGUACGUAAAGCUCUAUCGGCAGGGAAGAAAAUGACGGUACCUGACUAAGAAGCCCCGGCUAACUACGUGCCAGCAGCCGCGGUAAUACGUGGGGGGCAAGCGUUAUCCGGAUUUACUGGGGGUAAAGGGAGCGUAGACGGCAGCGCAAGUCUGGAGUGAAAUCCCAUGGCUUAACCAUGGGACUGCUUUGGAAACU